UAACUACUCCCUUCAUCCGAAAAAGCUUGUCCCUUAAAUGGAUGUAUCUAACACCAAGCUAGUGUUAGAUACAUCCAUUUGAGAGACAAGCUAGGAACAAGCUUUUUCGGACUGAGGGAGUAUAAC
Molecule: non-coding RNA, 126 nt
Organism: Triticum aestivum (bread wheat)
Lineage: Eukaryota; Viridiplantae; Streptophyta; Magnoliopsida; Poales; Poaceae
Source: Rfam